RNAcentral lists this long non-coding RNA (944 nucleotides) under Chloebia gouldiae (Gouldian finch). RNAcentral describes it as "Erythrura gouldiae (Gouldian finch) lncRNA (ENSEGOG00005011567.1)". Lineage: Eukaryota; Metazoa; Chordata; Aves; Passeriformes; Passeridae. The record is from RNAcentral.
UCCCUGUCCCUGUGUCACAGCUGUCCCCCUGUCCCCCUGUCCCCUCAGGUGGCCGCUGGCCCCCGCUGGCCCUGCAGGAGUUCCUCCGCCUCACCUCCUGCGCCCGCUGGCUGCCGCUGGUGGCUCAAAUCUGCAGCUACGGCCCGGCCGGGCCCCGCCUGCGCCUCUUCAGCCACGGCCAGGUGGGUCCCGGUGUCCCCAAUGUCCCCAAAUGUCCCCAAAUGUCCCCACAGCCACGGCCAGGUGGGUCCCGGUGUCCUCAAAUGUCCCCAAGUGUCCCCAAAUGUCCCCAAAUGUCCCCAAAUGUCCCCACAGCCACGGCCAGGUGGGUCCCCGGUGUCCCCAAGUGUCCCCAAAUGUCCCCACAUGUCCCCACAGCCACGGCCAGGUGGGUCCCGGUGUCCCCAAUGUCCCCAAGUGUCCCCACAGCCACGGCCAGGUGGGUCCCGGUGUCCCCAAGGUCCCCAAUGUCCCCCAAUGUCCCCUGCCCUGUCCGCUGUCCCCGCAGAGCCUGGACGUGGGAGCUGAGCUGGUGCGUUUGGGCUACGCCGUGCCCGCGCCCCACGAGGAGCCCCCGGACACCCUCGGCUGCGCCUCCACCCCGAGCCCACCGGAGCCCGGGGCCAGCCCCGGGACCCCGUCGUGCCUCACCGCCGCCGCCGUGCCCGGGGAUGCCGUCACGGUCACCUGAAGCCGCCCGGUGACCCCAUCACGGCGACCGGAGUGGCUCCCGGUGCCUCCGCCGCGUGCAGCCGCCACGGCGGAGCCCUCCGGGAGGCCGGACCGGCAAAGCGUGGGGAUCUCCGCUUGUGCCUCCCGACACACCGGGACCGACGGCCGCCGGUGCCCCUUCCGUUACCGGCUGCUCCCGGUUCCCUCGCCUUGUUGUGCUGUUCUGUUGCACUGACGGUGGUUCGGAGUUAAUAAAGUUAAAGGUUUUCUCA